GCCUUAAUAGUAUAAAAAUUACAUUGGUCUUGUAAACCAAUAAUGGAGUAUAAAACUCCUUAAGACA
This 67-nucleotide transfer RNA is filed under the name Trinomys moojeni (Moojen's Atlantic spiny rat). Its description in RNAcentral is "tRNA-Thr". It matches the Rfam family "tRNA". From Rfam's summary of the family: Transfer RNA (tRNA) molecules are approximately 80 nucleotides in length. The record is from RNAcentral. Lineage: Eukaryota; Metazoa; Chordata; Mammalia; Rodentia; Echimyidae.